This 468-nucleotide ribosomal RNA is filed under the name uncultured bacterium. RNAcentral's name for it is "partial 16S ribosomal RNA". It matches the Rfam family "Bacterial small subunit ribosomal RNA", at positions 28 to 507 of the family's 1533-position model. The record is from RNAcentral.
GACGAACGCUGGCGGCGUGCUUAACACAUGCAAGUCGAACGGAAAGGCCCUGCUUUCGUGGGGUGCUCGAGUGGCGAACGGGUGAGUAACACGUGAGUAACCUGCUCUUGACUUUGGGAUAACUGCAGGAAACUGGGGCUAAUACCGGAUAGGAGCUCCUGCUGCAUGGUGGGGGUUGGAAAGUUUCGGCGGUUGGGGAUGGACUCGCGGCUUAUCAGCUUGUUGGUGGGGUAGUGGCUUACCAAGGCUUUGACGGGUAGCCGGCCUGAGAGGGUGACCGGCCACAUUGGGACUGAGAUACGGCCAAGACUCCUACGGGGGGCAGCAGUGGGGAAUAUUGCACAAUGGGCGGAAGCCUGAUGCAGCAACGCCGCGUGCGGGAUGACGGCCUUCGGGUUGUAAACCGCUUUCGCCUGUGACGAAGCGUGUGUGACGGUAAUGGGUAAAGAAGCACCGGCUAACUACGUG